Triticum aestivum (bread wheat) is the source of this 2452-nucleotide long non-coding RNA. RefSeq lists it as uncharacterized. The transcript has 7 exons. NCBI's taxonomy places the organism in Eukaryota, Viridiplantae, Streptophyta, Magnoliopsida, Poales, Poaceae. The record is from RefSeq and is a predicted model, not a curated record.
CGAUGGGCAGGCCGAGGGCCGAAUCUUCGAAGCCGGAGGAUCGAGCUCCGCUGCUGCGCACGCCAGGAGCAGGCUGGAUUGCCGAAGGCGAAGAAGACGUUCUUGAGCAAGAUAAUCAGCUUCAGCAAGACCAAGCUUUUUUGUAGAAAAGGAAUCGGAAGCUCGGAGAGACCUCACGUGAAUCGACAGGCAAUGUCUUUCGAGGGCGCCCUUGAUUAUUGUGCCGAACAGAUUCGUGCAAUUCAUUUACACGAAAGAGUAGAUCCUGUGAAUGUGUUGGACUUUCGUGGUCUCUACUCAGACUUUAGGCCAGUGAAAAUUGACGGGGAGUGUUUCUACAGGAGCUUCAUAAUUUCCUAUCUUUGUUUAUGCCGAUGCACGACAGGAGCAAGUUCUUGAUAGGCAAGACACAAAUGAGGAAGAAUGCUUCCUUGCAGCUAUCGAAGAGGUGGCUGAGGAGGAACAUGCACGUUUUGGAUGGGCCUCUGAAUUUUCUAGUAGCCACAAAGCAUUUAAGGAGUUGAUAAAGAAAGUAAAGAGCUGGAAGAAAAAACGCAGAUUGAUCCCCGUAUUAACUGACAGAUACCUUAAGCGGAAACUUCUCAAGUUCUUCAGCACUUACGAUCGAACAGAAGACAGCGAGAAAACACUUCUCAACUUAUCCUUCAGUCAUCAACCUAUCUUUCCCUCAGUUCAUCCCAAUUAAUGUUUCUGACACAUUUUUGGUGGUCAGUUCUUGUUUUCCUCAGGUUAGUAGCAGCUAUCUGGUUAUGCUCGCACAUGGCGGACUAUGAAGAGGUUAUACCUGGACUUGGAGAAAAUGACAGUGUGACAGAUGUCGCUGAUUAACCAUUCGGCGGCCAUCUUUUGAUCAAGUCUGGUUUGGAGAUGUGCUCCCGUUAGUGUUCCAGUCAGUUUUAGAUUUAUUUCAGUUAUUAGGUGUGUCCUAGUCUGAUUCUUGUAUGAUUGGGUGAGACUGGUUCUUUGCAAAUGCAUUGGUACGUACUGUAGCGGAGCUCUGACGUACAGCAUGGCUUUUUGACCAUGACUUGAAGACGGCAAGUUCACACGGGAGAUUUGGACGAGUUUGGUUUUUUCGAUAAAUAUAGAGGGUGAUUUUAUUAACUCAAAAUAAAACAUCAAACAGGUUUUUCAUAGCCAAAACACAAAAGCGAACAAUACUCAGCUUUGCAUAACCAAAACACAAAACACGAACAAUCUCGUAAAAAAAGAAAAAACAACAUAUCGGCAAUUCGUAGAUUAUGUUGCUACACAUGUUGGGUAAAACCCUCUCUGGCCACCCGCUCCAUUUGUAUACGCAUCAUCUUGAACAACUGUUGGUACUGUGUUCGAUGUAGCGUAGUCCAUGUACGAAGCGGAUGCAUACCAUAUAAAAUUACAUGCAAAGGUGAAUAUUUUUUUGCCAUUAAAAAUCAUUUGUAUAUAGACAUAGUGACCAUAAUAAGGCAUAGACUCCCACUUAUUAGAGCACUGGACCUAUUUGAAAUUUCAUCUGACCAUAAAUAUUGGCAAUUUACUUGCUUAUACAAAUUGAACGUUAUCUUAAUGACUGACCAUGUAGAGCGUGCAGGCGUACCCCUUUGCGUCGCCACCCCCUCCCCCCCCCAACCCAAGCCGGUAGCCCACCUUUGAGACCUCCCUUGCCGCCGGCAAGUGCCGCGGUGGCGGCGAACCCAAUGCCAAAGGCUCCUGGGCGGGUGGUCGUUGCGGGAUCUCCCGUGAAGCGGAGGGGCGCUUCAUGUGGGGAUGAUGAAGGCAGCAGUUAGGGCGGCGCCCCUACUGUGCAGCGGCGAUCGAGGCUCCAUUGCUGGCAGGAUGGUCGGCUUGGAGAUGGAUGGUGGCGGUGGCGGCACUUGAUAUGUCUCCAACGUAUCUAUAAUUUUUUAUUGUUCCAUGUGAUUAUAUUAUCUGUUUUGGAUGUUUUAUAUGCAUUAAUAUGCUAUUUUAUAUUAUUUUUUGGACUAACCUAUUAACUUAGAGCCCAGCGCGAGUUCCUGUUUUUUCCUUGUUUUUGAGUUUCGCAGAAAAAGAAUAUCAAACGGAGUCCAAACGAAAUGAAAUCUUCGCGAUGAUUUUUCUUGGACCAGAAGACAACCAGCAGACUUGGAAAUGAAGUCGGAGGAGCCACGAGGCGGCCACAAGGACGGAGGACGCGCCCAGGAGGGUAGGGUGCCCCCCACCCUUGUGGGGCCCCCGUGGACCUACUGACCUAAUUUUUUCGCCUAUAUAUUGCCAAAUAUCCCCAAACCACCAGAGGCAUCCACGAAAACACUUUUCUACCGCCGCAACCUUCUGUACUCGUGAGAUCCCAUCUAGAGACCUUUUUCGGCACCGUGCCGGAGGGGGAUUCGAUCACGGAGGGCUUCUACAUCUACUCUAUUGCCCUUCCGAUAAAGCGUGAGUAGUUUACCACAGACUUACGGGUUCAUAG